GACGAACGCUGGCGGCGUGCUUAACACAUGCAAGUCGAACGGAAAGGCCCCUUUGGGGGUACUCGAGUGGCGAACGGGUGAGUAACACGUGAGUAACCUGCCCUUGACUUCGGGAUAACUUCAGGAAACUGGGGCUAAUACCGGAUAGGAAUCCUUGCUGCAUGGUGGGGGUUGGAAAGCUUCGGCGGUUUUGGAUGGACUCGCGGCUUAUCAGCUUGUUGGUGGGGUAGUGGCUUACCAAGGCUUUGACGGGUAGCCGGCCUGAGAGGGCGACCGGCCACAAUGGGACUGAGAGACGGCCCAGACUCCUACGGGAGGCAGCAGUGGGGAAUAUUGCACAAUGGGCGGGAGCCUGAUGCAGCAACGCCGCGUGCGGGAUGACGGCCUUCGGGUUGUAAACCGCGUUCAGCAGGGGCGAAGCUUGUGGUGACGGUACCUGCAGAAGAAGCACCGGCUAACUACGUG
Molecule: ribosomal RNA, 465 nt
Filed under: uncultured bacterium
Lineage: Bacteria
Description: partial 16S ribosomal RNA
Rfam family: Bacterial small subunit ribosomal RNA
Source: RNAcentral